Molecule: ribosomal RNA, 1338 nt
Filed under: metagenome
Description: bacterial LSU rRNA
Rfam family: Bacterial large subunit ribosomal RNA
Source: RNAcentral
UGAGUACGAGCUGCUACGGCAGCGAAGUGGGUGAUGUCAAGCUUCCAAGAAAAGCCCUAUACCCGUUAAGGCAUGAUGGCCUGUACCCGAAACCGACACAGGUGGGGUGGUAGAGAAUACCGAGGGGCGCGAGAUAACUCUCUCUAAGGAACUCGGCAAAAUGGCCCCGUAACUUCGGGAGAAGGGGUGCCACCGCAAGGUGGUCGCAGUGAAGAGGCCCAGGCGACUGUUUACCAAAAACACAGGUCUCCGCUAAGUCGCAAGACGAUGUAUGGGGGCUGACGCCUGCCCAGUGCCGGAAGGUUAAGGAAGCUGGUCAGCGUAAGCGAAGCUGGCGACUGAAGCCCCGGUGAACGGCGGCCGUAACUAUAACGGUCCUAAGGUAGCGAAAUUCCUUGUCGGGUAAGUUCCGACCCGCACGAAAGGCGUAACGAUCUGGGCGCUGUCUCGGAGAGAGGCUCGGCGAAAUAGAAUUGUCUGUGAAGAUGCGGACUACGUGCACCCGGACAGAAAGACCCUAUGAAGCUUUACUGUAGCUUGGUAUUGUGCCCGGGCUCUGAAUGCGCAGGAUAGGUGGGAGGCUUUGAUCCAUUGCUUGUGGGUGAUGGUGAGCCAACGGUGAGAUACCACUCUUUCAGAGCUAGGGUUCUAACGGUCACCCGUCAUCCGGGGACCGGACAGUAUCAGGUGGGCAGUUUGACUGGGGCGGUCGCCUCCUAAAAGGUAACGGAGGCGCGCAAAGGUUUGCUCAGGCUGGUUGGAAAUCAGCCGACGAGUGUAAAAGCAGAAGCAAGCUUGACUGUGAGACCUACAAGUCGAACAGGGACGAAAGUCGGCUUUAGUGAUCCGACGGUUCUGAGUGGAAGGGCCGUCGCUCAACGGAUAAAAGUUACUCUAAGGAUAACAGGCUGAUCUCCCCCAAGAGUUCACAUCGACGGGGAGGUUUGGCACCUCGAUGUCGGCUCAUCGCAACCUGGGGCUGAAGUCGGUCCCAAGGGUUGGGCUGUUCGCCCAUUAAAGCGGUACGCGAGCUGGGUUCAGAACGUCGUGAGACAGUUCGGUCCAUAUCCGGUGCAUGCGCAGGAAUAUUGAGAGGAUUUCUCCCUAGUACGAGAGGACCGGGAGGAACGCACCUCUGGUGUGCCAGUUAUCGUGCCAACGGUAAACGCUGGGUAGCCAUGUGCGGAGAGGAUAACCGCUGAAAGCAUCUAAGUGGGAAGCCCACCUCAAGAUGAGUAUUCCCAUGGCGUUAGCCAGUAAGGUCACGGGAAGAACACCCGUUGAUAGGCUCUACGUGGAAGCCGGGUAACCGGUGAAGCGGAGGAGUACUAAUAGACC